AGAAUCAACGCUGGCGGCGUGCCUAACACAUGCAAGUCGAACGAGAAAGUGGAGCAAUCCAUGAGUACAGUGGCGCACGGGUGAGUAACACGUGACUAACCUACCCUUGAGUGGGGAAUAACCUGGAGAAAUCUAGGCUAAUACCGCAUAACACCUACGGGUCAAAGGAGCAAUUCGCUUAAGGAGGGGGUCGCGGCAGAUUAGCUAGUUGGCGGGGUAAUGGCCCACCAAGGCAGUGAUCUGUAUCCGGCCUGAGAGGGCGCACGGACACACUGGAACUGAAACACGGUCCAGACUCCUACGGGAGGCAGCAGUGGGGAAUUUUGCGCAAUGGGGAAACCCUGACGCAGCAACGCCGCGUGGAGGAUGAAGUCCCUUGGGACGUAAACUCCUUUCGACCGGGAAGAUAAUGACGGUACCGGAAGAAGAAGCCCCGGCUAACUUCGUGCCAGCAGCCGC
RNAcentral lists this ribosomal RNA (459 nucleotides) under uncultured bacterium. Its description in RNAcentral is "SSU rRNA". It matches the Rfam family "Bacterial small subunit ribosomal RNA", at positions 26 to 518 of the family's 1533-position model. The record is from RNAcentral.